AGUUGUAUAAUCCCCCAGCUACAGGUAGCUAAAUGUAUCCAUAUAGUGGUAUCUAACAUACAUCCAGGGGCAUUAUUUUGAAAUCAAUGUCAUGCCAAUGUUCCUAGUGAGCGGUGAGAGAUGUCAAACAAUUGUCUUUGCUUUUUCUCAACAUCAAAUUGGCUGAAGAUGGAUGUUCUUCUAACCUAAAUGUGUACUGCAAAUUCAAGCACGGACUCUGAAAGUGGCCCCACAACAGCCUGCCAUGACUGGCCCUGUGCCACCUCUACCCAAACCCAAGACCCCCUCAGCCGAUGCCAACAAACAGUAAACCGAGGAGAUCCUCAAUGCCAUACUACCACCCCGGGAAUGGAUGGAGACCAACCAGCUGUGGGUGCAGCAGGUGUCUAGCACGCCGUGUACCCUCAUGGACGUGGUGCACCUAUAGGAACAGCUGGAUCUGAAGCUGCAGCAGAGACAGGCCAGGGAGACUGGCAUCUGCCCAGUCCUCAGGGAGCUCUACUCCCAGUGCUUUGGCCCAGCUGGAGGGGUUCAUUGCCCCCAAAAAGUGACCCCUUCAUUCCACAAGUGAUCUAUAACCGGCAGAUUUCAGAUGUUCCAACACAGCAUUAUGUAAUAAAAGUGUACUUCAUAACCAUAAAGCCUUGCGUUACUAUAGCAACAAAAAAAAAUACAA
Salvelinus sp. IW2-2015 is the source of this 676-nucleotide non-coding RNA. The record is from RefSeq and is a predicted model, not a curated record. NCBI's taxonomy places the organism in Eukaryota, Metazoa, Chordata, Actinopteri, Salmoniformes, Salmonidae.